This 500-nucleotide ribosomal RNA is filed under the name uncultured bacterium. RNAcentral describes it as "partial 16S ribosomal RNA". It matches the Rfam family "Bacterial small subunit ribosomal RNA", at positions 30 to 523 of the family's 1533-position model. The record is from RNAcentral.
AUUGAACGCUGGCGGAAUGCUUUACACAUGCAAGUCGAACGGCAGCACGGACUUCGGUCUGGUGGCGAGUGGCGAACGGGUGAGUAAUGUAUCGGAACGUACCCAGUCGUGGGGGAUAACGUAGUGAAAAUUACGCUAAUACCGCAUACGAUCUAUGGAUGAAAGCGGGGGAUCGCAAGACCUAGCGCGAUUGGAGCGGUCGAUAUCGGAUUAGGUAGUUGGUGGGGUGAAGGCCCAUCAAGCCAACGAUCUGUAGCUGGUCUGUGAGGACGACCAGCCACACUGGAACUGAGGCACGGUCCAGACUCCUACGGGAGGCAGCAGUGGGGAAUUUUGGACAAUGGGCGAAAGCCUGAUCCAGCCAUUCCGCGUGCAGGAUGAAGGCCCUCGGGUUGUAAACUGCUUUUGUACAGAACGAAAAGGUUUCUACUAAUACUAGGAGCUCAUGACGGUACUGUAAGAAUAAGCACCGGCUAACUACGUGCCAGCAGCCGCGGUAA